This 198-nucleotide ribosomal RNA is filed under the name uncultured bacterium. RNAcentral's name for it is "partial 16S ribosomal RNA". It matches the Rfam family "Bacterial small subunit ribosomal RNA", at positions 1303 to 1500 of the family's 1533-position model. The record is from RNAcentral.
GUCUGCAACUCGAGUGCAUGAAGCUGGAAUCGCUAGUAAUCGCGGAUCAGAAUGCCGCGGUGAAUACGUUCCCGGGUCUUGUACACACCGCCCGUCACACCAUGGGAGUCGGGAAUGCCCGAAGCCGGUGGCCCAAUCGAGAGAAGGGAGCCGUCGAAGGCAGGCCGGAUGACUGGGGUGAAGUCGUAACAAGGUAUC